This 250-nucleotide ribosomal RNA is filed under the name uncultured bacterium. RNAcentral's name for it is "partial 16S ribosomal RNA". It matches the Rfam family "Bacterial small subunit ribosomal RNA", at positions 524 to 776 of the family's 1533-position model. The record is from RNAcentral.
UACGUAGGGUGCAAGCGUUGUCCGGAAUUAUUGGGCGUAAAGAGCUCGUAGGCGGUUUGUCGCGUCUGCUGUGAAAACCCGAGGCUCAACCUCGGGCCCGCAGUGGGUACGGGCAGACUAGAGUGCGGUAGGGAGAUUGGAAUUCCUGGUGUAGCGGUGGAAUGCGCAGAUAUCAGGAGGAACACCAAUGGCGAAGGCAGAUCUCUGGGCCGUAACUGACGCUGAGGAGCGAAGCAUGGGAGCGAACAGG